This 490-nucleotide ribosomal RNA is filed under the name uncultured bacterium. RNAcentral describes it as "partial 16S ribosomal RNA". It matches the Rfam family "Bacterial small subunit ribosomal RNA", at positions 30 to 507 of the family's 1533-position model. The record is from RNAcentral.
AUUGAACGCUGGCGGCAGGCCUAACACAUGCAAGUCGAACGGUAACAGGAAGCAGCUUGCUGCUUCGCUGACGAGUGGCGGACGGGUGAGUAAUGUCUGGGAAACUUCCUGAUGGAGGGGGAUAACUACUGGAAACGGUAGCUAAUACCGCAUAACGUCGCAAGACCAAAGAGGGGGACCUUAGGGCCUCUUGCCAUCGGAUGUGCCCAGAUGGGAUUAGCUAGUAGGUGGGGUAACGGCUCACCUAGGCGACGAUCCCUAGCUGGUCUGAGAGGAUGACCAGCCACACUGGAACUGAGACACGGUCCAGACUCCUACGGGAGGCAGCAGUGGGGAAUAUUGCACAAUGGGCGCAAGCCUGAUGCAGCCAUGCCGCGUGUAUGAAGAAGGCCUUCGGGUUGUAAAGUACUUUCAGCGGGGAGGAAGGGAGUAAAGUUAAUACCUUGGCUCAUUGACGUUACCCGCAGAAGAAGCACCGGCUAACUCCGUG